RNAcentral lists this ribosomal RNA (425 nucleotides) under uncultured bacterium. RNAcentral describes it as "partial 16S ribosomal RNA". It matches the Rfam family "Bacterial small subunit ribosomal RNA", at positions 354 to 796 of the family's 1533-position model. The record is from RNAcentral.
GUAGGGAAUCUUGCGCAAUGGGCGAAAGCCUGACGCAGCCAUGCCGCGUGAAUGAUGAAGGUCUUAGGAUUGUAAAAUUCUUUCACCGGGGACGAUAAUGACGGUACCCGGAGAAGAAGCCCCGGCUAACUUCGUGCCAGCAGCCGCGGUAAUACGAAGGGGGCUAGCGUUGCUCGGAAUUACUGGGCGUAAAGGGAGCGUAGGCGGAUAGUUUAGUAAGAGGUGAAAGCCCAGGGCUCAACCUUGGAAUUGCCUUUGAUACUGGCUAUCUUGAGUAUGGAAGAGGUAUGUGGAACUCCGAGUGUAGAGGUGAAAUUCGUAGAUAUUCGGAAGAACACCAGUGGCGAAGGCGACAUACUGGUCCAUUACUGACGCUGAGGCUCGAAAGCGUGGGGAGCAAACAGGAUUAGAAACCCGUGUAGUCC